GACGAACGCUGGCGGCGUGCCUAAUACAUGCAAGUAGAACGCUGAAGGAGGAGCUUGCUUCUCUGGAUGAGUUGCGAACGGGUGAGUAACGCGUAGGUAACCUGCCUGGUAGCGGGGGAUAACUAUUGGAAACGAUAGCUAAUACCGCAUAACAGUAGAUAUCGCAUGAUAUCUACUUGAAAGGUGCAAUUGCAUCACUACCAGAUGGACCUGCGUUGUAUUAGCUAGUUGGUGAGGUAACGGCUCACCAAGGCGACGAUACAUAGCCGACCUGAGAGGGUGAUCGGCCACACUGGGACUGAGACACGGCCCAGACUCCUACGGGAGGCAGCAGUAGGGAAUCUUCGGCAAUGGACGGAAGUCUGACCGAGCAACGCCGCGUGAGGGAAGAAGGGUUUCGGAUCGUAAAGCUCUGUUGUAAGAGAAGAACGAGUGUGAGAGUGGAAAGUUCACACUGUGACGGUAGCUUACCAGAAAGGGACGGCUAACUACGUG
RNAcentral lists this ribosomal RNA (495 nucleotides) under uncultured bacterium. Its description in RNAcentral is "partial 16S ribosomal RNA". It matches the Rfam family "Bacterial small subunit ribosomal RNA", at positions 28 to 507 of the family's 1533-position model. The record is from RNAcentral.